Molecule: long non-coding RNA, 1392 nt
Organism: Balaenoptera acutorostrata (minke whale)
Lineage: Eukaryota; Metazoa; Chordata; Mammalia; Artiodactyla; Balaenopteridae
Exons: 6
Source: RefSeq, a predicted model, not a curated record
UCGUACUGGGGGAAAAUGAUACUUCUAUUAGUUACAUAUUCUCCAAUCGCACACUCGCACCCCCCUCGUUUUGAGAUCGCUCCCCUAGGCAGGCUCAGGCGGGCGCGGAGCGGCGCGGAGUGACAAAGCCGCCGCUGCUGCCGCCGGCGGUGGGAGCUGCGCUUGCCCGCCCGCCCCUAGACUCGGGAGAGCGUAAAAGUUUGUCUCAGCUCCAGCACCCUGAGCCUCAACACGCCCUCAGAGUUGCUGUGUAUCUCGCCACUGGUACACUGAAUAGUAUCUUCCUUCAGACGGGGAUUGAGAAACGGAAAUACCACCACCCUCGAGCCAAACUUGUGAGGACUGAUUGCAGGGGAACUGGUGCUCCAGAUGUUGCACUAGAGGCGCUGCGAGUGUGAGCAGGUGGCAGUAGACCUGCAUCGCAGGUUGUAGCAGAUGUUCUCAACAUUUCUCUUGAAAUUUCCUCAUCUCCGUUUGCAAGAGGAGCCCCAGAGCCUCAUCCCUGUGGUAGCUACCAUGUUCCGGUAUAAGCUGUUAUUCACCAGGGAGCUUUGGCAAGAGAAUGGCUGUAUCAGGAAGUCCAUCUCCACUGUGGAAAAACAACUUGAAGCUUGUCUUUAUUGACGGGAACAAUAUGACCUCUAACCUGGAGGGAUACACCAUUUCUAGUCUGAGACACGCAGAAAUACCGUGGAGAAUUGACUCCUAACAGCAAGGUGUACUGUCUGUAGGAUGGAGAUAGACUGAAUACCCGCUUCUCUGAAUACCGGCUUCAGAUCACUUUUCACAUUUUCUUUUUGGAAAGGCAACUGUUGGAGAAUCAUCUUGUUACCGUCAGCAAAAAUGGAAACAAAUCAAGACAUUAAGAAUGCCACGGUGAAGGACUUCCCUGGUGGCCCAGUGGUUAAGAAUCCACCUGCCAAUGCAGGGAACACGGUUUAAUCCCUGGUCCGGGAGAUCCCACAUGCCACGGAGCAACUAAGCCCAUGCGCCACGACUACUGAGCCUGCAUGCCUAGAGCCCAUGCUCCGCAACAAGAGAAGCCACCGCAAUGAGAAGCCCGCGCACCUCAAUGAAGAGUAGCCCUGCUCGCCACAACUAGAGAAAGCCCAUGUGCAGCAACGAAGACCCAAUGUAGCCAUAAAUAAAUAAAUAAAUAGAUAAAUAGAUAGAUAGAUAGAUAGAUAGAUAGAUAGAUAGAUAGAUAGAUAGAAUGCCGCACUGAAUGACCAACAGUUAAUGAUGCCAGUGUUAUGCAAGCUUCAGCAAAGGAAUUUUUCAAGACAGUGUGCCUCACCAGCCAGAAAUCAGGAAAGGUUGAACCUCUCCUUUUAGUCUCAGCUCUUUCUUAAAUCAAUGCAACCCCUCCAAAUUAAAGUGAAUUGAAACAUG